This is a long non-coding RNA of Triticum aestivum (bread wheat), 876 nucleotides long. RefSeq lists it as uncharacterized. The record is from RefSeq and is a predicted model, not a curated record. The transcript has 3 exons. Lineage: Eukaryota; Viridiplantae; Streptophyta; Magnoliopsida; Poales; Poaceae.
GGCUAAUGCUUCCAUCCACGUCUAGCGGAAGCUCCUUAAUUCUCUCCUCCACUAAACUCCCUUUUCCUUUCCUGUGAAUGAAAUGAAUGUGUGUCUAGGGAUGCCCAUCAGGGAGGGAGCGAUGGAGGGCCUUGCUUGCGCCACCUCACCGAUCCGUGGCACUUUGUCCAUGGAGCGCGCCCCUCCUAGCUUGUUCUACUCAGCACGCCCGUGGCCAUCUUGUCUUAUAUAUACAACAAGUAGUCAUGUGUCCGCGUGCGACUUGGACUUGGAUCCGGCUCUGCUCGUUCAAUUCAAUUUCCCACUAUGGGAGCGGGCGGAGAUCCAAUCCAUCAUCGUCGUCGUCAUAUUGAUUUCCAACGAUCAUCGUGUCGCUGGGCAGCGGGCCAUGGGACCAGCUCUUCGGCGGAGGGAACGCGCCAUCCUUCUGGGUGGCUGCCGCGGCCUCCUUUGUGGGCGGGCUAGUAGCCAUCCUGGGGCUCCCGCGGGCCCGGCUCGGGCCGAAGAAGAAAACCACCCAACGAUGAUGAUUCGAGCUGAGUAUACAGAGACAUUGUUAUGUUGCAGACAAGGAAGGAAGGCAGGUUGGUCUCAAGUUGCAACCAUUCAUUCUUUGCACACUGGUUCAAAGACACCGGGAACGCUGCCUACACUACACUACACUACACUUGUCAUCAUCAAGUUGGGUUCGGUUCAAAUUCAAGGCCAAAAGUAGGAGGGCUCUGGAAUUUUCCUCCAUGAGCUCUAUCGUCGCCUUUUUUUCGCUUGUCGGUGUGAAACAUGGUCGGUCAUAUGUUGUUGUAUAUCGGAUAUUUUGCCAUUUUGUCGGAGAUUAUCAACCAAUCAAUAAAAGUUGCAGGGUUUUGUUUGAGAUUA